Molecule: long non-coding RNA, 218 nt
Organism: Gopherus evgoodei (Goodes thornscrub tortoise)
Lineage: Eukaryota; Metazoa; Chordata; Testudines; Testudinidae
Exons: 3
Source: RefSeq, a predicted model, not a curated record
ACACACGCACACAGGGUGUGUGUGUGUCUCUGUCUGCCCUGCUGUCUCCCCUCCCUCCAUUCUUGCUGCCUUGUAGAGCGUGAGGCUACAUUAACCUGUUAACCCUUAAGGGAUCAGCUGAGUGCUAGUUCAUCAUUUAGCAAUAAGGCAUUCCCAGGGAAAUAUCCCAGCCUCUGACUUCACCACCUCAGCUAAGCUUCACAAUCAUUAUAGCUGUA